GGCCUGAGAGGGUGAUCGGACACACUGGAACUGAGACACGGUCCAGACUCCUACGGGAGGCAGCAGUAGGGAAUAUUGCUCAAUGGGGGAAACCCUGAAGCAGCAACGCCGCGUGGAGGAUGAAGGUUUUAGGAUUGUAAACUCCUUUUGUAAGAGAAGAUUAUGACGGUAUCUUACGAAUAAGCACCGGCUAACUCCGUGCCAGCAGCCGCGGUAAUACGGAGGGUGCAAGCGUUACUCGGAAUCACUGGGCGUAAAGAGCGCGUAGGCGGGAGAGUAAGUCAGAUGUGAAAUCCUGUAGCUUAACUACAGAACUGCAUUUGAAACUACUUAUCUAGAGUAUGGGAGAGGUAGGUGGAAUUCUUGGUGUAGGGGUAAAAUCCGUAGAGAUCAAGAGGAAUACUCAUUGCGAAGGCGACCUGCUGGAACAUUACUGACGCUGAUGCGCGAAAGCGUGGGGAGCAAACAGGAUUAGAUACCCUGGUAGUCCACGCCCUAAACGAUGAAUGCUAGUUGUUGCCCUGCUUGUCAGGGCAGUAAUGCAGCUAACGCAUUAAGCAUUCCGCCUGGGGAGUACGGUCGCAAGAUUAAAACUCAAAGGAAUAGACGGGGACCCGCACAAGCGGUGGAGCAUGUGGUUUAAUUCGAGGAUACGCGAAGAACCUUACCUAGGCUUGACAUUGAUAGAAUCCGCUAGAGAUAGUGGAGUGCUGGCUUGCCAGAGCUUGAAAACAGGUGCUGCACGGCUGUCGUCAGCUCGUGUCGUGAGAUGUUGGGUUAAGUCCCGCAACGAGCGCAACCCUCGUCCUUAGUUGCUAGCAGUUCGGCUGAGCACUCUAAGGAGACUGCCUUCGUAAGGAGGAGGAAGGUGAGGACGACGUCAAGUCAUCAUGGCCCUUACGCCUAGGGCUACACACGUGCUACAAUGGGACAUACAAAAAGRUGCAAUACCGCGAGGUGGAGCAAAUCUCUAAAAUGUCUCUCAGUUCGGAUUGUAGUCUGCAACUCGACUACAUAAAGCUGGAAUCGCUAGUAAUCGCAAAUCAGCAAUGUUGCGGUGAAUACGUUCCCGGGUCUUGUACUCACCGCCCGUCACACCAUGGGAGUUGUAUUCGCCUUAAGUCGGGAUACUAAAUUGGUUACCGCCCACGGCGGAUG
This 1158-nucleotide ribosomal RNA is filed under the name Helicobacter bilis. Its description in RNAcentral is "bacterial SSU rRNA". It matches the Rfam family "Bacterial small subunit ribosomal RNA", at positions 289 to 1468 of the family's 1533-position model. The record is from RNAcentral. Lineage: Bacteria; Pseudomonadati; Campylobacterota; Epsilonproteobacteria; Campylobacterales; Helicobacteraceae.